This is a long non-coding RNA of Hypanus sabinus (Atlantic stingray), 4732 nucleotides long. RefSeq lists it as uncharacterized. Lineage: Eukaryota; Metazoa; Chordata; Chondrichthyes; Myliobatiformes; Dasyatidae. The transcript has 3 exons. The record is from RefSeq and is a predicted model, not a curated record.
CAGAAUAAAAAUACAAAUGGUUGAUCAAUGAAGAGUGUUAGUAAUAACAAAGUAAAUAUUUUUCAAAUGUCAGUUGAGUAUUUUAGAACAUGUCAAUCUGCUCAAUGCUGAGAACAAAGCUAUGCACAUUAAUUGUGCAUUUUCUUCACUUCCUUUUUACAGGAAUAUGUCACAUCCAACAAUUCCCAAUUCAAGUGGAAAUAUCAGACAGGUGCUGACUCGCUACAGAAGCGUUUCAUUGGUAAUUAUCACAAAUUCUCUAUUCAUCUAUGGAUGUUUCCAAUCAAGCUUUCAAUAUCUAAAACAGAAUGAAACAAAAACGGAAGAUGAUGGAAACACUCAACAAGCUAGGCAGCACCCAGUCAGAGAGGGAAACAGAUUCAACACCCCAGACCAAAGACAAAAACAUUGUAGGAUUCUGUGUUGAGAAGUCCAAAAGGAAGUCUGCAACACCAUCUUACAGCUGCAAGAGUGAUGGCAGAGGACUCUGUUCUCAAUCAGGUUCCCAAUGCAACAGCUUAGAAAGCAGAGGUUUGUGAUAAGUGUCCAGUACAGCAGCAUCUACGGUAAAAUAUCGACAUAAUUUUUUGCUUCAGUUGCUGAUUCCAUUGGUGCUCUCAUUCCAGGGAAUUAGCAUCACCAUGGUACCUGUGUAACCAGAAAGCAUGUAUACUUUGCAAACUGUAGCAUUUGCUAGAGCACAAUGGAGUUAAGGUACCUCAUAACACAUCUGGAAAGUAUUAUUUUAAAAUUUACGUACAGGUUGAGUAUCCCUUACCCAAAAUGCUUGUAGCUGGAGGUGUUUCAGAUUUCAGACUUUUUCAGAUUUUGGAAUAUUUAAUGAGACAGUCUGUGAUUGCCAUUAUUUUCAACUCAGAAUUUAUGAGCUACCAGUCAGCAGUCUUUGUCUUACACUUGUUCAUCACACAUAUGUACUUAACUGUAAGAACUAUUACAACCCAUUAAAAUAACAAAAAUAUGAUGUGUGCAGAGUAACAAAAGCAGCACAUAAGCAUUUGGAGAAUACUUGAAUCUGCCAAUGAACAACAGCAACCAACAGCAGGCUUUCAGACUCCGCCUAUAAUGUUGUGUUUUGAUUAAACGGUUACAGUGCACUGUAUUUGUAUUUUACUUUAUAUUUAUUGGUAAGGAAUAAAAACAAUCAGCAUUGUAGACUUGUUCUGGUGUUAGAUUUUCAUCAGUGACAAUCUUUAAAAUUUUUAAAUCUUUAAAAAUUGAGUGCCGUGGCUUAAAUUUUUGCAACCAGCCUGCUGAAUAUUCACAAUCACUUUCAAUUUUCAGUUCAUCAUGAUAGAUCUUUGCUUAUUUCAUGAUCAACAUGCCAUUAAGCGGUAUAUGUUCAUUCAGACGCUAGCGAAUCCUUUCUUUCAAUACAUCAACAAAAUCUUUAUCUUUCGCUUUAUGCUAUGUUUUUCUAUUUUUCAUUAAUUUAUUUUCAUUACAUAUGAGGUAACUUCUCCAAAAUGCUUGUGAUGCAGAGACCUACACAUUGCCUGGAGCCUUCCCAACGCCUUGUGGAAUUUUCAAAUUGUAACAUCAUGCCAGUGCUCAAAAAAAGAUUUUGGAGGCUUUUGGAUUUUGGAAUUUGGGAUAAGGGGUACACAACCUGGAGUAUCUUUCAGAGCUCUAAAGUCACUCCAUUAUGAUGUACAAAUCACAGCAAUCAUAGAAUUAUAAAUUGGUAUUCUGUUUAUGAUGUAAACGAAGAGAUAAACAUUAUUUAGAACAUGCAGAAUAACACACUUGCUCUCUUAAAUUAGCACCUUCUUUGAAACUUACUAGAACUUCAGGUGACACUCCAAAUUAGCAUCAUGCCCAAAAAACUGAACUAUUUCAUUCAUUUUUCAGAUACUGGGUGUCGCUGUCAAUAACAGCAUUUAUUAAACACUGUUAAUUACUCUCAAAUUGUUGUUGAGAGUUGGACUGCUGGUAAAGGGUUAUUUGAUAGAGUUCCAUGAUUUAGAGCAUAUAGCGUUGAAAAAAUAGAGGUAUUUCCAAGUCAGGAUAGUGUGUGACUUCAUGUUGGAAUAUACAUGGUGGAAAAUAAAUGAGUUUAAACCCUUAUCCUUCUUGGUGGUAGAAGUCAUGGGUUUGGCAAAUGUUGCCAUAGUGAGUAAGGUCACUGCAUCUUAUAGUGGAUACACACUGUAGUUCCAUUCAAUGGAGCUGUUUGGUACUGGAUGAGAUUUUAUGAGCUUUACGAGAAUUGUCAGAGCUGGACUUAUACAGGCAAAGAACAAGUAUUUUAUCACUCUGGACUUGCAUUUUACAAAUGAUGAAAGAGGUCUGGAGUGCUACUAGGCAAAUCACAGAAAUGUCGUCAAAUCCAGUGUACUUAUGCAGCGGCCCAGUUGAACUUCUGGUCAUGCUGAAUCUGGUCACUGCUGAACCUAGGAUUUUGAUACUGGAAAAUUGGCAAUAGUAAUGCCAUUAAAUACAAGGAGUAGAUGGUUAAACCUAUUGUUGUAUAUGGUCAAUUUCUGGAAUUUCUAUGCCACAAAAGAGUAUAAUGAAGCCAAUGAACAGGAUUCAGAGUCUUCCACAGAUAGGACAGAUUGUGGCAGGUACAGCGGGGUAGAAUAUUAUUAUUAAUAUUAGGUUAUGCACUCCUUUCGCUACAGUGUGCUACUGAUACAGGGCCUCAUCGUGAACCAAAAUACGACUCCCCCACUUACAGUGGUCAGGAACCACAGUUUCUCAAGGGGUGUCAGCAGAGAUGAUCAAAGAGACUUUAUCAUGGGAAGAGAUUAUCAGGAAAACAGAGGAAAGGAUUCAAGUAUAUGUUCAGCCUUGCAGGUGAGUGUCUCAUGUUGGUGUAAUAGUUUUCUCUGAUUUAACUCAAGCCCAAGCUCUUUAGUUUCAAAUGGCAUUGCUACCAAUUAAGCCACUGCUGAGACAAAACUUGACACUGAUAAAUAAGGAAAUAUCAAGCCAUGUAAUCAAAAGGUGAAAAAUGGAAAUAGAACACCAGCACUCAAGCAACUGGCAACUUAAAGCAUGAUCUGAAAUGACAGAACUAUUAGAUUUGGAAGAUCAAGACACCAAAGCUGGAAGAACAGAAAACUAAUGCUGGAAGAGGUGAGAGAAGGGGGGUAAAGCCAUGAAUAUUGUUGAAAACAAGGUAAGAAUCUUUAUAUCAAGUGGUUGUGUAACUGGGAUAGAAUGUAGGUCAGCAAGAACAGUUACAUGAGACUUUGUGCAUGUUGGAACACAAUUUUGAAUUACCCAGUCUGCAGAGGGCAGAAUUGGACAAGAUAACUGGUAGCUUAUUGGAAUAGUGAGGCAUGAUCUAACAAAGGCAGGGAAGAGCACUUCAGAUGAAGGUGGAGCUGGCCAAAGGUGGCAUUAAGGUAUUGAAAAUAAGAGUGUGGUGGGUGUUAUUGAACAUCUCAGAUGAACAUGAUAUCAAGGCUUCAAAGUUUGUGGAUCUGUUUUGAAUUAUUUCUAACAAGAAUGAAGUCAGGAGUUAGGGAAUAGAUUGCAACAGGUAAUUAAGACAUCAACUUUGAUCUUUUAAACUAUUUGUUGUAGACAAUCUUUACUUAUCCAGUGCUGAAUGACAGAUAAGCAAUUUUAAUAUUUCCAAGGCAAUGGAACAGUUAAGGAUAUAGGGUGUGAGGCAAAGUGGGUGUCAUUAGUGUAUUCGAUGAUGGAGGAAACAAGUUGGAUAUGAGCAGAUGUAGCUGUAAUCAGUGGAAUGACAGAGUAUUUUUGUAUGAUUUUGCUGAAGAGAAUAGAAAGGAGAUCAGAAUACAUUUUUGGGGAAUGCAAAGAUAGUGAGUAUGGUUAACUAGCUAAGAAAACCAAAUGAAAUUAUUCCCAAUGAACGAAAACUAAAGAAGCAAUGAGACAGAAUUAAUUGUCUCUUUGAAGCUUAUCAAAUGUUGAAAGGCCUCAAAAGAGUGAAUGUGGAGAGGGUGUUCCCUAUGGUGGGAGAGUUUCAGACCAGAGAACACUGCCUCAGAGUAGAGGGCUGACAUUUCAGAAUGGAAUUGAAGAGGAAUUUCUUUAGCCAGAUAGUGCUGAAUCUGUUGAAUUCAUUUCCAUAGGCAGCUGUGGAGGCCAAGUCAUUGGGUAUAUUUAAGGCAAAGGAUGAUAUAUUUUUGAUUAAUCAGGGCAAGAAAGGAUACAGGGAGAAAGCAGGAAAAGAAAUGAUAGUUGUGGAAGAAGAAGAGAAGAAAGCCCUUAACUCCAAGCAGAGUCAUUGGGACGCCGUCAUGACAGCAUUUUUUUUAGCAGGCUUUCUUAUUUUUACAAGGCCGAGUUGCUAGCUCAAAGCUCAACCCAGCAUGGAUAGAAAGCGUGCACGGGAGCUGGCUGGAUUCGAACUUUGCUUCAAAGUCCAGCGCUGAUGCCACACCACCACCAGCUGGCUAGUUGUGGAAGCAAGGUCAGAAAACAAGAUUGUUCAGUGCAUACUUUGGUACUGGAGUGGGCAUGAGAAGGAGACAAACUAGAGAAAACAACAAACAAGUGUGUAAGCUCAAGGCUUACAUCUUGGAUGUGAUAAUAAAAGGAGAUAAUAGAAUGAGUGGGAGAACAAACUAUAGCAAUAAGAUAAAGAGUGGAAAAAAUGAAGUCUUGAAUUGCUUUAUACAAAUAUAGGUUCUUUCUUUAUUACAAAAUGCAAACUCAUUGAAUCUGAAUUCUUGUGCAACAUGUUCACAUUUUUUUCCACUAGCUGAAAUAAAAUCUUUCACUUCGAACAAAA